GUACGCUCAGCCGGCUCGUCCUCGAUGGCAUGGCACUCACGUCAGCCGAGUCUUAGGUGGUGCAAUGUCCUCGCCACGCAGGAGGCCAUCACCGCAGGCACACCACACGUAGGGUCAGACUGCGGAUUACUUUUUCAGCACUGGCGCAAACCAUUUCUGUGCGAUUCCGAGCUUUACGAUUUGUUUUUUGAGUUCAAACUGACUGUCGUUUUGUGUGUGACCAUUUUCGUUAACUGACCAUCGAACACUGAUUUUAUGCUCGUAAGGGUCAAACUGUGUGUCGUUUUCCGUCUCGGGUCAAUAUCAAUCAUUUCUAUCAGCUUAGCACGUGCCUCGUCACCCAAAUAUCAACGAAGGCCAUUUUUAUGAACUUCCGGACUGGCUGGUUAUGGUCUGUAAGCUCGGACUGUUGACUCUCUUGCUAGUGUUGAUGCGGAACACUGCCAUCAACUUCCCAAUGGGCUCUCAAGGCUCAGACAUCCCAUCGUUUCCAAGUGCCAAAAGGGAUGAUUUCCUCUCACUUCCGCCUUGGUUAGUAAAUGCAUAAGGUUCAGUCUUGCUUCACGUGUCAGAGCAAGCCAUUUCAACUACAUAGGACCUUCUUUCUUCAGUGUUCUGGGUCAUGGGUUUCUUUUUCCUGUAAUUUGCAAAGGUUCACAGUCUUGCUUCAUGUAUCAGAGCAAGCCAUUUUAACUCAAUAUAUGACCUUUCUUGAGUGUUCUAGGUCCAGGGUUUCUCUUUCCUAUAAUUUGCAAAGGUUCACAGUCUUGCUUCACGUGUCAGAGCAAGCCAUUUUAACUCAAUAUAUGACCUUUCUUGAGUGCUCUGGGUCAUGGGUGUCUUUUCCUUUAAUUUGCUUCGUCACGUAAAGUCACUCCUCACAGAAGCUUCCUCAGUGGAGAGCUAUAGCCAGUCACUUUAAGUCCUUGCUAAGUGCCGUCUCGUUCCUUCUAUAGCCUUGUAACACUCAUCUGGAAAUGGUAAAGGUAUGCUCGACACUUUGCACCAACCACUGUUACCCGCAUCAGGAAAAAUGUCAUCUCUUGACUGAUAAGAUAAAUGAAUGUACGAGACAAUAGAGAGAUAGAUGAACGAGCUUUCGACUAACAACAAGGAGUUUUAACACCUCUAUGGAUUUUCCCGAUACGAGUUUGGUUCGGAAAGGUGCGUUGGUAGUGUGGGAGUGACCAACACACCCCGACAUAGCAAAGUGGAUACAGAUGAAAUGAUAUAGACAAAUCAACAAGCUUCUAACUAACAGUGACUAGUUUUAACACAUGUCAGAGUAGUUGCAUUUUUUCCUGAUACGAGAUUGUUUGAAAUGUGUAGGAAGUUGCUGACACGCCCAAACAAAUAUAUGAGUGAGCUUCUAAAUAAAAAUUACUAGUUUAAACACCUCUAGUAACAUUUUCCUGAUACGAGUUGGUUUUGGUAAAGUGCGUUGGUAGUUACGAACACACCCUUACAGAUAUAUGAAUGAGCUUUUAACAAUUACUAACUACACCUCAUUGAGUAGACAUAUUUUCCUGAUACGAGUUGGUUUGGUAAAGUGCGUUGGUAGUUACGAACACACCCUUACAGAUAUAUGAAUGAGCUUUUAACAAUUACAAGUUUUAACACCUCAUAGAGUAGACAUAUUUUCCUGAUACGAGUUGGUUUGGUAAAGUGCGUUGGUAGAGGCGAACGCACCCAACAGAGUAAGCUAAAUACCAUACGUCUAUGCCUAUACAGUGCCUUCCUUAUGCUAUGUCCACCCUUCACAGACCCUCCAGCACUCUUGUUUGCCCUGUACCAUGCGUCUAAGGUACGCUGGUAGUUGCAAACAUACCCCAACAUGUGCCUGCCCUGUACACCGCCUUCCUUAAUCUACGUGAGCCUUUACAGACCCUCACUUACUCCUGCCUUGCUUGUGGUGGCAGUGCAGGGCAACACACACACACACACAGACACGUAAACAGGAACCCGAGACUACAGGAACUUACCAUCCAGAUAGCAAAAAUAAGUUUCCGUUUUACGCUGAACGAAAAUAAAUUCUGAAAUCGCACGAAAUGAAGAGAAAAAUGCCCAUUAAAAAGAGUUCCAAAUAUUCAUUUUUUAGUGUUUGGUUAAUUGAUGCAUGAGAUAAAGUCAAUUUAGGUCACAAAACUACCAAAGAAACUAUUGAUACCCCCCAAAAUUCUGCAUAAAAAAAAAAUAAAAAAAGAUAGCUCGUCUAACCCCAUAUGGACAUAACAUUACAGGACAUCAAACAGAGGAAAAAAAAAAAAGGAAAAAAAUAGAUAUGAGAAAACCCACUAGGCGGUAAAUUCUGCGCAUGGUGAGGAAAGACAGAACACACGAGAGUAUAUUUCAACAAGGCACAGAGGUCAGGUCAAGGUCACAGUAUAGGCACAAUCCCACACUGGCCCCUUGACCACAACAUUACACUACAAGAAACUACCUUCAAAAUACCUCACUGUAGAUUCACUAGCAAAAACACACACUACAUGGUCAUUGAAAAAUAUACAUGGUUGUUUUCUCUGCGGUAAGGAAGUCGGGGGUUGAUGGUAUAUCGAUAGUCUCUCGUCCACACACACAUAUGAAAAUACUCAUGUCAGACACAACGGGACUCCAGCGAAUGUCUACUCUAGGGGCUUAGGAAUUACGAGUUUUAAAAAUGUUCUUCUACGAGUUUCAAGCGUAAAAUUAAGAAAAUAUGUUGUACACUUCCAUGAAACUACAAAUAUUAACUAGCUUUGUUGAUUUCUAAGCAAAUAUGAGCAUUGAAAAAAUUCUUCUAGGAGUUUCAGGCGUAAAAUAAAGAAAAAUAAUUGUACACUUCCGAGAAAAUACAAAUGUUAACUGUCUUUGUCAAUCUCUAAGCAAAUAUGAGCAUUGAAAAAAUUCUUCUAGGAGUUUAAGGGAAAAAAUAUUGUACACUUCCGAGAAAAUACAAAUACUAACUGUCUUUGUCGAUCUCUAAGCAAAUAUGAGCAUUGAAAAAAUUCUUCUAGGAGUUUAAGAGAAAAAAUAUUGUACAGUUCCAGGAAAUUACAAAUACUAACCUACUAUUUCAGUUUCUAGGCAUAUACGAGCAUUAAUAAUAUUCUUCUAUGCAUUUCAGGGUAAGCUAAAGAAAACUAAUUGUACACUUCCACAAAACUACAAAUACUAACUUACUAUUUCGUAGCUUUAAAAAUAUUCCGAGUCAUGUCUAGAAACGGUUUUGGUGAUGACUGGAAUGCUGUAGCUAGCAGACACAACACCCUGUCUGUCUGUCUCGAACUUGAACUGGAUGGUUAAGUGAUUGCGAGAUGAGAAUGAGGGACAGCCCGUGAUCCAUGCAGACACAAAAGGCAGGACAUACAGAGCGCACAGCAACCACCUCCGUCAUGUAACACUGCUGGCACGACCCUUUGCUUCCAUGGGUGUUUGGGCGUCCACACACAGGUACACAUAACCCAGUAAAUUUAAACAUAUCGACCCCUCGGUUUCCCUCCUUGAAAAGCCUCUCGUGGAAGUUGCAGGGACUUACAUGGACUGUUUUGUGAUACCAGUGAUAGUUUUACACGACUUGAAUGGGAAAAACACCCAUGAAAACCCAGUUAAUCCUCUCCGUGGCCGUGGAUGGUAGUCGUAAUGAGGGCUGUAGACAUUUAGGGUCGUAUUUUAAAACAUUUCGCCUCUCAAGUUUGCAUAUUUAACAAGGCUUUCGUAGGAGUUGUGGGCAUUUCCAGGAGUAGGUUUAAGACCCUGGUGGUAGUCUGACCCUUCUCCUGUACCGUGAACCUAAAGAAACACUCAUUAUAACACAAUUGGUCCCAUCUCUGGCCUUGAGAAAUAGGUAUUGUGGGAAGCGAAGGUGCCUUGAAAUACCACCCUUGAAAAUUUGGACCAUGGACAGAGGUGGGGUGCAAGGUAAGCUUUGAGAAUAGGUCUGCCUGUAUGAUAGUGUCUAAAUACAAGGAGUCGCUAGGCUAACAUUCUACUAUGCUCAAGUUCAGGUUUAAACUCCGGUAAGCCUAAGAGAUACUGCAUUGCCUAAAUGAGUAACUAUUGCAUACUUUACAAUCCCAGAACAUGCAAUACUCAAGCCUUGUUAUCAGGAAGUGUUGCCGAGGUUAAGUCUUUUUUGUGUUAGAUGGGUCAACUUUUCCAAGCCCCGGGUGUGUUCAUGUGCAUUGUUCCGCUACGUACUCACACCCGAGGAACGAGGUGCUGCGGAGAAAUGAGCAGAGCCGGGAAAUAUUACGUUUGGUUGAAAUAACGAAGGAUAUUCAUAAUUUUGACUUGAAUUUUGAGCCUUGACGCAACUUUCUGGAGUGGCGUUUUUCCUCAUGUGAGUACAACAGUUCGUAUGGUUGAAAUAACAAAGGAUAUUCAUGAUUUUGACUUGAAUUUUGAGCCUUGACGCAACUUUCUGGAGUGGCGUUUUUCCUCAUGUGAGUACAACAGUUCGUAUGGUUGAAAUAACAAAGAAUAUUCAUAAUUUUGACUUGAAUUUUGAGCCUUGACACAACUUUCUGGAGUGGCGUUUUUCCUCAUGUGAGUACAACAGUUCUUAUGGUUGAAAUAACAAAGAAUAUUCAUAAUUUUGACUUGAAUUUUGAGCCUUGACGCAACUUUCUGGAGUGGCGUUUUUCCUCAUGUGAGUACAACAGUUCGUAUGGUUGAAAUAACAAAGAAUAUUCAUAAUUUUGACUUGAAUUUUGAGCCUUGACGCAACUUUCUGGAGUGGCGUGUUUCCUCAUGUGAGUACAACAGUUCGUAUGGUUGAAAUAACAAAGAAUAUUCAUAAUUUUGACUUGAAUUUUGAGCCUUGACGCAGCUUUCUGGAGUGGCGUCUCUCCUCAUGCGAGUACAACAGUUCGCUCCACUAGAAUUCCUCGGCCAAUUAUUGUCAUUAUUAUUAUUUUUACAGCAAGGAAGGCAGGUCAAGCCGGGAAAUAUUACGUAUGGUUGAAAAAACAAAGAAUAUUCAUGAUUUUGAAGCAACUUUCUGGAGUGGUCUUUCCUCAUGCGAAUACAACAGUUUGCUCCACUAGAAUUCCUCAGCCACAUAUUAUAAUUACUACAAUUUUUACAGCAAGGAAGGAAGUUCAACACAAACAAAAAAUGGCGACAAGAAAAAGUUAGGUCAAUUUCCCCUCUCGAAAGUAUCCCUCCACUCAAUUCUCCGAGCUUCCGUUCCCCGAUCUGUGAGUACCGGAUGAAACAAUGCAGAGGCUAGUGAACACCCGCUGGGCCAUGGCUAUGACCACCCGACACACUGCAUACAUGGUACAAGAUUACAAGUGGUGGGACUCAGAAACCUCUCAGGGGAAGGAAGAAAGGAAGGAAGGGAGGAGAUGAUACACUGGGGUUUUGGAGGAUAGUGUGUGGCUGCAUGUGUGUAUCAGUGUGAGUGAUGUUUAUAAGUGUCACAGAAGAUGCAAAAAAAACAACAACAAUGCAGAUUUUAUCCAAGAAUGUUAAUAUCAAUACCAAGUUCAAAGGAGUCAGAGAAAAUAUGCUUCUUCAAUCCUACUUUUAAGGGGAAACAAACGUAUUUAGCGACCAAGCAAUAGAAUAGUGGAUAUUAAUCUUUAGAAAUUCACUCAGGAACAUUAAUAGCAAUACCAAAUUCAAAGGAGUCAGAGAAAAUAAGAUCCUUUAAUCCUAUUUUUAAGGGGAAACAAACGUAUUUAGUGAUCAAGCAAUAGAAUAGUGGAUAUUAAUCUUUAGAAAUUCACUCAGGAACAUUAAUAGCAAUACCAAAUUCAAAGGAGUCAGAGAAAAUGUGCUUCUUCAAUCCUACUUUUAAGGGGAAACAAACGUAUUUAGCAACCAAGCAAAAAGAGAAUGGACAUAAAUCUUUAGAAAUUCACUCAGGAACAUUAAUAGCAAUACCAAGUUCAAAGGAGUCAGAGAAAAUGUGCUUCUUCCAUCCUACUUUUAAGGGGAAACAAAUGUAUUUAGUGGCCAAGCAAAAGGAAAAUGGAUAUAAAUCUUUAGAAAUUCACCAAAGAACGCAGACACAGUACAAGUUUGAGGGCAUUUGAAAAGGAAGCUUAUUCAGUAAUAUUUCAACAGACAAAGGAAUUUAUAAGGAGUUUCCAUGAUGGGAAGGGAGUUGGAACACAUGGUUACUCUUACUGACAGAGUGUAAGAACAGUUUGACAAAGCAUUAGGAGGGGAGAGAAUCUGAUCAGUGCGGGUCAGUAGAAGGAGUUUGAAUGCAUAUAAGUAAGGAAUCUAAUGAGUGUGGAACAGGGAAGGGAGUUUGAAUACAUAUAAAACUCUCGAAGGCAGAAUUUGAGACCAUUUUGGUAAAGCAUUAGGAAGGGAAUUUAAACAGACUGGUCAGGGAAAGGGAUUUGAAUGUCAGGGAAGGGGAUUUGAAUAUCAGGGAAGGGGAUUUGAAUACACAUAACAGAACUUUUAGCGGCAGAGAAAUUCCGAAAGACGAUUUUGGCAAAGCAUAUAAAAAAGAGGCAGGGAAUCUAAUCAAAGUAGGUCAGGUCAGGUCAGGCUACAAAAGUGAGGAAGGAGGAGGAGGAGGAGGAGGAGAUAAAAUAAAGUAUCAUUGAGCCCAGCAUUGAAUUAAAUAGUAGUAGUAGUAGUAGUAGAAGUAGUAGUAGUAGUAGUAACAACAGGCAGGAAAUCUAAUUAAAGUAAGGUCAGGUCAGGUUACAGUAGUGAGGAAGGAGGAGGAGGAGGAUAAAAUAGUGUCAUUGAGCCCAGCACUGAAUUAAGUAGUAGUAAUAGUAGUAGUAGUAGUAACAGCAGCAUCCAUCACCACCACCACGCCACAAACACCUCCUCGGCACACGGACACAACAGGUUCCGGCAUACAUAUUUUUCAUGCCUUGGUCUUUCGGUGCUAAUUUUACGUUUCUGAGUCUGGUGUCUGAGGUCUAUGAGGUUUGACAAUCUGAAUAUAUCCUCUCUCUGUGUCUACAAGGGAUCACUCUGUUAUUUAUCCUGCAAGGGCCAUCUUAUAAGCCUCCAAUUGCCAGAGUCCAGGAAUGAGUGGCCAUGAACUCUUUCUUGCAUUCCUCUAUUAUAUCCUUUGUCAGACCUAGUGAGUGAGACAACAGAGGAUGGUAUUACUCCACCUUACACUCCCCAAUGGCUGUGUGUGUGUGUGAUGAUAAAUGCUCAACAUAUGUGUGUGAAGUUUGAACAUACUUAAAGCAUCUUAUUCCUCAUACUGAUAAUAGAUCCAUGCCUCAUACAGUGGUUGGUUUGUUAGAGUAGUUAUUAGAGUAUUUCAUUAGCACAGACAAGGAUUUAAUGUAGAGUUAGUGACUUCAAACAAACAUGGCCGCCACAGACAAGCUACUGGCGGCCGCAGGACAAGACACGCUACUGACACGCACACACACACGGACAUACACACACACGCACAGACAAAUUACACAGCUUCCGCAUUCCGUGACUGUUCAUGACUGGCGAUGGAGACUAAUGGUAAGUGUCAUUCCUCAUUGCUAGAGUAUAUCUGUAAGUGCAUGCCCAGUGCCCACACACACGCACACACACACACAAACAUUUUUGAUACUAGGAUUUCAAUGUAACUUUCAAUGUGUGUGUGUAUUUAUCUAGUUGUAAUUUUAGAGGGCCUGGGCUUUACGCUCAUGUGGUCCUGUCUCUGUAUCUACAUUUAUCCAACUUUUCCUUAAAGCUUUGCACACUCUUCGCCGAUACUACAUCCUCACUUAGUCCGUUCCAUGUGUGUGUGUGUGUGUGUGUGUGUGUGUGUGUGUGUGUGUGUGUGUGUCAAGCUAACACCGUCCCU
Molecule: long non-coding RNA, 7756 nt
Organism: Eriocheir sinensis (Chinese mitten crab)
Lineage: Eukaryota; Metazoa; Arthropoda; Malacostraca; Decapoda; Varunidae
Exons: 3
Source: RefSeq, a predicted model, not a curated record